CGUAAUUGCGACGUAUAUACUUGCCUCGCGUUAUGUCGCAAAUCUCACCACGAUCGGCUUUCUCAUCAGACACGGUGCCUGGGCUGGACAGAGGUUACGGAGUAAUGGUAUCCGAGAUACUUGAAAGAGGGGAAAAAGUUGAAAAGCUGGAAAAGAAGACUGCGAUGUGAUCCUAUUUAUGAGAACCUGUUUCAACGUCACGCCGGCAUGACUUCAGAUUUAAACCGCUGGACGGCGAAAUUUACAAAGUAUUGCGGAAACGUGAUAAAACUCUCAAUUACGUGCUUAAAUGGCAUUGUUUGCCGCUGCUCACGUCACGGGCCGUGCUUUCGGGCACGGGACGUUUAUCGUAUUAGCAUUUUUCCUGCAUAUUGAAUUACUUGUAUUUCAGGUAUUUCAAUGUGUUCUUUUUCAUAUAUUUUUUUUUUUAAGAAAUCGGACUUUGUAAGCGCUACCAGAGAGAAGAUGAGAGUACCCAGGCCGAAGGGGACACAGCUAUCAAAUAUUUGCGACACGAGCGCCGUUAUUCCUGCGGAUGCCUGUAGUACCCGCGGCACCGUUUCAAUAAUAGGACGAAGGUUAAAGCGCCAUCUCUGAUUCAAGCCGGUCGUAACGUGUAACGUGGCGUAGCGUGCCGUACUCAUCUCUCUGGCGCUAUAGAGCAUCUCUGCUACAAAGACGCAUCGAGAAAGUAACUACUCUGAAUUACCUGCCGAAAAUUUCACACUGUACAAGUUUCGUCACUUCUCCUCAGAUGGCGCGCACUGCGCGGCAAAGACCGGAAUUUUAUUACAUAUUUUAUUUAUUAGGAUGGAAUGUGUACCUCGUUAAUUAUUAAAGUCUCCAAGGAGAGCACGUUUAUUUAUAUUUCAUUGGUACAAUGUAGAAAGAAGUUCGCAGCUACGAGGUUAAGGGUAAACAACGGAAAGUGCUAUUAGGUACUUUAUUAAAAAGUAAUACAUAAUAGCUACAAUAAAGUUGUGCCAAUGUGUACGCACAAUAUAAGUCACGAAUAACUUUGAGCAACAGGAUUCCUCGGGCAUGUCGGCACAUGCACACAAUCCGCGAUUUUGUAUCAAUGUACAAACAAUGAAAAAUACGUCUCGUGUAGGGAACGAAGUACAAAUAUUCAGUCUGUAGCGAGAGUGAUGUUUAGUCGUCAUUAUGGCAGAUAACUAAUUCUGGAAAAACCUUACGUCUUAUGGUUUGUUAAAUGUCAAUGAAUUAGACAAGUAUCGAACGAAUUUCAAUUACAUCGUAGGCAUAUAUCAUAUUUUCUGUACACCCGUCUCAUGUACGUAACGACGGUAAAAGAGCUUGGAAUUUGGCACAUUA
This is a long non-coding RNA of Orussus abietinus, 1335 nucleotides long. RefSeq lists it as uncharacterized. The record is from RefSeq and is a predicted model, not a curated record. The transcript is spliced from 2 exons. NCBI's taxonomy places the organism in Eukaryota, Metazoa, Arthropoda, Insecta, Hymenoptera, Orussidae.